UACGUAGGUGGCAAGCGUUGUCCGGAAUUGUUGGGCGUAAAGCGCGCGCAGGCGGUUUCUUAAGUCUGAUGUGAAAGCCCACGGCUCAACCGUGGAGGGUCAUUGGAAACUGGGAAACUUGAGUGCAGGAGAGAAGAGUGGAAUUCCACGUGUAGCGGUGAAAUGCGUAGAGAUGUGGAGGAACACCAGUGGCGAAGGCGACUCUUUGGCCUGUAACUGACGCUGAGGCGCGAAAGCGUGGGGAGCAAACAGG
Molecule: ribosomal RNA, 253 nt
Filed under: uncultured bacterium
Lineage: Bacteria
Description: partial 16S ribosomal RNA
Rfam family: Bacterial small subunit ribosomal RNA
Source: RNAcentral